CCCUUAGAUGUUCUGGGCCGCACGCGCGCUACACUGGUGCAUUCAACGAGUCUAAAACCUGGUCUGAGAGGGCUGGGUAAUCUUUUGAAAGUGCAUCGUGAUUGGGAUAGAUGAUUGCAAUUCUUCAUCUUCAACGAGGAAUGCCUAGUAAACGCAAGUCAUCAGCUUGCAUUGAUUACGUCCCUGCCCUUUGUACACACCGCCCGUCGCUCCUACCGAUUGAACGAUCCGAUGAAAACUGUGGAUUGAGAGUCUGAGUGGGUUCGCCUACCUCAACUUUCGAGAAGCGGUUUAAAUCUUAUCGUUUAGAGGAAGGAGAAGUCGUAACA
This 329-nucleotide ribosomal RNA is filed under the name uncultured eukaryote. Its description in RNAcentral is "partial 18S ribosomal RNA". It matches the Rfam family "Eukaryotic small subunit ribosomal RNA", at positions 1470 to 1796 of the family's 1831-position model. The record is from RNAcentral.